Molecule: long non-coding RNA, 335 nt
Filed under: Nicotiana benthamiana
Lineage: Eukaryota; Viridiplantae; Streptophyta; Magnoliopsida; Solanales; Solanaceae
Description: long non-coding RNA (NBEN_LNC024350)
Source: RNAcentral
UAACACAUGUUUCUGAAUCAUCGCAUAAUUUGCAAGAUGAAGAGAUUGAUUAUGAACAAUUACAAGAAGAUUUUGGAAUAGAAGAUAAUGAAAUUGGAAUAGAAGAUGAGAUACCACCUACACCUAGUAGUGGAAUAUGAACAAUUACAAGAAGAUUUUGGAAAGAAGAUAAUAAAAUUGGAAUAGAAGAUGAGAUACCACCUACACCUAGUUGUGGAAAUGUUGGUAGUAUUGGAGUUGGAGUUGCUAGUGCUACAAGGGGUAGAAGACCAACAGUGGCUCCAACUUCUACUCGUAAAAAAAGAAGUCCGGUUUGGAAAUUUUUUGAAAUAAUA